This 498-nucleotide ribosomal RNA is filed under the name uncultured bacterium. RNAcentral describes it as "partial 16S ribosomal RNA". It matches the Rfam family "Bacterial small subunit ribosomal RNA", at positions 30 to 523 of the family's 1533-position model. The record is from RNAcentral.
AUUGAACGCUGGCGGCAUGCUUUACACAUGCAAGUCGAACGGUAACAGGCCGCAAGGUGCUGACGAGUGGCGAACGGGUGAGUAAUGCAUCGGAACGUGCCCAGUCGUGGGGGAUAACGCAGCGAAAGCUGCGCUAAUACCGCAUACGAUCUAUGGAUGAAAGCGGGGGACCGUAAGGCCUCGCGCGAUUGGAGCGGCCGAUGUCAGAUUAGGUAGUUGGUGGGGUAAAGGCUCACCAAGCUGACGAUCUGUAGCUGGUCUGAGAGGACGACCAGCCACACUGGGACUGAGACACGGCCCAGACUCCUACGGGAGGCAGCAGUGGGGAAUUUUGGACAAUGGGCGCAAGCCUGAUCCAGCAAUGCCGCGUGCAGGAAGAAGGCCUUCGGGUUGUAAACUGCUUUUGUACGGAACGAAACGGUCCUGGUUAAUACCCGGGGCUAAUGACGGUACCGUAAGAAUAAGCACCGGCUAACUACGUGCCAGCAGCCGCAGUAA